UAUGUUGCUGUGCAGAUUUGAGGAAGUGGAGUUUCUGGCAGAGACCUCCUGCUCCUAUUUCCUCCCCAGCCUUGUAGAGGGCUUCCGUACGGUAAAGAAGGAGAGAGAAUGACAAGGAAGGAACAAUCUCCAGCCACGCCAGCCAGGUGACACCAAAGUACAUCCAGAAAACACCCUCCACCUCAUCUACAUUGUGCUUAGGAAUGUCAUCCUUGUUAUCCUGCUCUCCAGGGUUCUCCAAACAAUGGCUCAUGUUACCCCAGCAGCUGCAAUGAACUAAAGGCAGCCACCUUUCCCAGGAGCUGAACUUCUUUUUAAAAGAGAAAUCUCAUCUGUGCAGUUGUCCCCAGCAUGACAAAUGGAAAGUGCACUUUCUGCUUAAAUAGUGAGCAGGAGAGCAAGCUGCGGGAAAGGUUAAGUGAAACACCAGACUCCAUGCACUGACCGUCAAUGUCUUAAACUGCUCCAUUCUGUUGGUGUAAGCCCUCAAGACCUGAACACCCCCUGAAGUUUGAGAGGUUCUUUGAAUGGAACUCAUGCAGGAUCCAGGUCAACAUGCCAGUCCAUGCCAAUCCUGCUCCUAGUUUAGCCCUUAUGGAAAACCAGCAGUACUGUCAUUUAUAACUUCUCCACCAGAGGGAGGAUGAUGGCUUCAAAUGUACAGGAUGAAAUCCCUGUCCCACUGUUAUCAAAGACAAAACUCCCACUGAUGUCACCGGGGCCAGGAUUUCACCCACUAUAUAUAAGAACAUUACAAAAAAUGCAUCCACUAUUCAAGCUUGCAUCCAGUACCAUCUGAGCAAGGCUUCAUUGGCCACAUGGGGCCAGAUUCUGAUCUCUUCUACACAAGCGUCAAAAUGAAGUAACACCCAUGUAAAUGAGAUCAGAUCUGGCACAUAGAGUUCAGAUUUCAAACACAGACAGGAGAAAGUACUUGGCAUCUCUGUGGACAGCUCAGUGACAUCAUCUUCUCAAUACACAGUGAAGGGCAACAAACAAGAUGAUGUUGAGCGUUAUUAAGAAAGAGAGGCUUUGUUUCUGUCAAGAUCUGUUUCAUUGCAUGCCUACAGGUCUGUAUUAUUGCUAGGAGAGCCUGGUCCAGUGGAAAAGAGAUUCAGGAAUCCUGGGCUGCCCAGUGACUUGCUCUGUCACCUUGGACAAUUUACUUCACCACUCUGUUCCUCCUCCCACCCUUUGUCUUAUCUAUAUGAAUGGUAAAUCUCUUACUAUGCAUGCGUGCAAGUGCCUAGCACAGUGGAGUCCUGAUUUUGGUUUACAGGUGCUGCUAGUACAACUAAAUAAAAAUAGUUUAAAAUCACUAGAGACAUUUUUAAAUGAAAGGAAUAGUGCAUUACACUGAAAGCAUUAAAUUGCCAUGGUAUAAAUCAAUGGCACAUGCUGGUCUUGACUGUGUCCAGUUUUGCUUUACUCAUCUCAUAAAGCAGUGGUUCUGAACCAGGGGUACGCAGAG
Long non-coding RNA from Dermochelys coriacea (leatherback sea turtle), 1471 nucleotides. RefSeq lists it as uncharacterized. The transcript is spliced from 3 exons. The record is from RefSeq and is a predicted model, not a curated record. Lineage: Eukaryota; Metazoa; Chordata; Testudines; Dermochelyidae.